This 288-nucleotide small RNA is filed under the name Lepisosteus oculatus (spotted gar). Its description in RNAcentral is "WT1 antisense RNA conserved region 7 (ENSLOCG00000018897.1)". The stretch from base 63 to 288 matches the Rfam family "WT1 antisense RNA conserved region 7", at positions 68 to 294 of the family's 294-position model. Lineage: Eukaryota; Metazoa; Chordata; Actinopteri; Semionotiformes; Lepisosteidae. The record is from RNAcentral.
UUCUCAUUCAUGGUUUUGGUUAUAGAUUUCAAUUAAUUCACACACACACGACAUCAUCCAACCUGUAAAUUGUGGUAAUUCUGGAACCAAUUAUAGAGGAUAGGUCUCAAUUUGUUCUGCAUUAAGGGCACACUGUAAAUGGGAGACCAGGCCAUACGGAGAGCAGAUAUCCAGUGCUCAUGAAAUUGAUGAACUGAGACCUGCUGGUAGUUCUGACUACACCAUCUGGAAUUCUAGUCUGGGGUUAUGCAGAAAGCUUCUGACCCUAGAUUCAACUUUUAACUUGGG